ACGAACGCUGGCUGCGUGCUUAACACAUGCAAGUCGAACGCUGAAGCCCGCAGCUUGCUGUGGGUGGAUGAGUGGCGAACGGGUGAGUAACACGUGAGUAACCUGCCCCCGACUUCGGGAUAAGCCCGGGAAACUGGGUCUAAUACCGGAUAUGACCAACGCUCGCAUGAGUGUUGGUGGAAAGUUUUUUCGGUUGGGGAUGGGCUCGCGGCCUAUCAGUUUGUUGGUGAGGUAAUGGCUCACCAAGACGACGACGGGUAGCCGGCCUGAGAGGGCGACCGGCCACACUGGGACUGAGACACGGCCCAGACUCCUACGGGAGGCAGCAGUGGGGAAUAUUGCACAAUGGGGGAAACCCUGAUGCAGCGACGCAGCGUGCGGGAUGACGGCCUUCGGGUUGUAAACCGCUUUCAGCAGGGAAGAAGCCUUGAUCGGUGACGGUACCUGCAGAAGAAGUACCGGCUAACUACGU
Molecule: ribosomal RNA, 472 nt
Filed under: uncultured bacterium
Lineage: Bacteria
Description: bacterial SSU rRNA
Rfam family: Bacterial small subunit ribosomal RNA
Source: RNAcentral